GUGGCUAUAGCUCAGUUGGUAGAGCUCCGGAUUGUGGUUCCGGCUGUCGUGGGUUCGAGCCCCAUUAGCCACCCCA
This 76-nucleotide transfer RNA is filed under the name Deltaproteobacteria bacterium. RNAcentral's name for it is "tRNA-His". It matches the Rfam family "tRNA". From Rfam's summary of the family: Transfer RNA (tRNA) molecules are approximately 80 nucleotides in length. Their secondary structure includes four short double-helical elements and three loops (D, anti-codon, and T loops). The record is from RNAcentral. Lineage: Bacteria; Pseudomonadati; Myxococcota; Myxococcia.